Molecule: unclassified non-coding RNA, 2847 nt
Filed under: Hevea brasiliensis (rubber tree)
Lineage: Eukaryota; Viridiplantae; Streptophyta; Magnoliopsida; Malpighiales; Euphorbiaceae
Source: RNAcentral
CAAACUGCCCGUCAUAUCUAUUCAUAUAGUCCUCGCCAAACCAACGGUAACUUUCGAAAUACGAUUGAAAGGAGUUCAUGAAUGGCCCCUCUCAAACUCUAUCCAAAACCAAGCACUUGCUUACAGCCACAAGAACCCAAUACCUCUCUCUUUUAAAGCACUAUGCAUCCACUCGUUCCCUUACCAAGACUAAACAACUCCAUGCCCAAACCAUCACUGCAGGCCAUCUCUCCUCCUCCCGCCUCCGCUCAAGCCUCGCUGAUGCCUAUAUGCAUUGCGGGUAUAUCCCUCAUGCUCGUAAGCUGUUCGACGAAUUGCCUGAACGAAGUGCACUCUUAUACAAUAACUUGAUGACUAUGUACGUAAAUAGUGGGCUAUAUCUUCAUGCGCUAAAGGCGUAUGUUGAAAUGCUUCAAUCAGGAUUUUGCCUCCCUGACAACUAUACGUAUCCUAUUGUUAUCAAGGCUUGUAGUGAGCUUUCGUUGCUUGGAUUGGGUAGAGUAUUUCACGGGCAGACAGUGGUGUCCAUGUUUGGUUCUUACACCUAUGUGCAAAAUUCCUUACUGGCAAUGUAUAUGAAUUGUGGGAAGAAGGAGGCAGCACAGAGAGUUUUUGAUGCGAUGAAGGAGAGGAGUGUGGUGUCUUGGAAUACUAUGAUUAGCGGCUAUUUCAAAAAUGGGUGUGCCAAGACUGCUUUAAUGGUUUUUAAUCAGAUGGUUGAUUUUGGGGUUGAGAUUGAUUGUGCUACUGUGGUUUCUGUGUUGCCAGCUUGUGGAUAUUUGAGAGAAUUGGAGUUGGGAAGAAGGGUUCAUGCAUUACUGGAAGAUAAGGGUUUGGGUAAGAAAACAGCAGUAAGGAAUGCAUUGGUCGAUAUGUAUGCAAAAUGCAAUAGCAUGGCUGAAGCAAGGUUAGUUUUUGACAGGAUAGAUGAAAAGGAUGUGAUUAGUUGGACUUCCAUGAUUAACGGGUACAUUUUGAAUGAUGACGUGAGAAGUGCUUUGAUGCUUUGUAGGAUCAUGCAGACUGAAGGGAUAAGACCCAAUUCUGUGACUAUAGCCUCAAUUCUUUCAGCUUGCGAUAAUUUGAGGGACGGUUGUUGUUUGCACGGGUGGACAAUAAGGCAAAAUCUCGAUCUGGAAGUUAUUGUAAUUACUUCAUUGAUUGACAUGUAUGCAAAAUGCCAUCGUGUGGACCUUAGCUUUGGAGUCUUCACAAGAACUUCAACAAAUAGAACAGCUCCAUGGAAUGCAAUGCUCUCUGGGUGCAUUCAUAACGGUCUUGCAACUGAGGCGAUAGGACUUUUCAAGCAAAUGCUAGUAAAAGGAGUUGAACCAGAUGGUGCAACAAUGAACAGUCUACUUCCAGCAUAUGCCAUUCUUGCUGAUUUGCAGCCAUCGAAGAACAUACAUGGUUACCUAACAAGGUCUGGGUUUCUUUCAGGAAUAGAAGUUGCUACAUGUGUGAUUGACAUAUAUUCCAAGUGUGGAAGUCUAGAAUCCGCUCACCAGAUUUUUAAUGCUAUCCCCAUAGAUGUCAAGGAUAUUUUCGUGUGGAGUGUAAUAGUAUCUGGUUAUGGAAUGCAUGGUCAUGGUGAGACUGCUGUUUCACUUUUCAGACAAAUGGUUUGGUCUGGGGUGAAACCAAAUGAAGUUACUUUUACUUCUGUAUUGCAUGCUUGCAGUCAUGCUGGUUUGGUGGAUGAGGGUUUGUGUUUGUUUGAAUUCAUGCUCAAAGACCACAAGAUGCAACCUCAUGAUGAUCACUACACUUGCAUUGUUGAUCUGCUUGGUCGUGCAGGUCGAUUUGAUGAAGCAUAUGAUCUUAUUAGAACAAUGCCUUUUGUACCUAGCCAUGCUGUUUGGGGUGCAUUGCUUGGUGCUUGUGUAAUACAUGGUAAUGUUGAAGUGGGUGAAGUUGCAGCACAACACGUUUUUGAGCUUGAGCCAGAGAACACAGGAAACUACAUACUGCUGGCAAAACUUUAUGCUGCAGUGGGAAGAUGGGAAGAUGCAGAAAAUGUGAGACAUAUGAUGAAUGACAUAGGAUUGAGAAAAGCACCAGCCCACAGUUUGAUUGAUGCCGUAAAUAUAUGAAAUGUAACAUUUUGUUACGUCAAAUGGAAAAACUCAUCAGCUUGCUAUGGGGUUCAUGUAUAGAUGAAUAUAUGCUACAUCCAAAGCCUGGGUGAACAUCCAUAUUGAAGAGCAUAUGAUCACGUAAUCGCUAAUCAUUGUAUAUGAAGGGCUCAUUUGGUUGAACCAAAGGAGUUUUCUGAAAGUGGAAGCAAGGAAUGCCUUCCUAACUAACUUAUGAUUGUGAUGAAUCAGAUAUUUCAACGGUACAGCAUUGCAAGUGCAGAAGCAACUCAUUGGUCAAACAAAUUGGCAACGUUUUGCUAAAAAUUUUCAUGGUUAUCUUUUCUUGAAUUAUGUUUAAUGUCUGGAAUGGGCUCCUCUCUGGUAUUAUUGAGAAACAGAACUGGUUAGAGUGGAAGCAUGGGUGAUAUUAUGGAAUGUCAAGAUAGCCUGAGUCAGGGCGAGUAGGUUGCAUGAUAUACCUGUUUAGCAUGGCUUAUUACCAGGCCAUGUCAAAUCUAUGCGGAUUAGCUGUCGAGAUAUGCUGAGGUGAUUUAUACUAUAUAUAGAUCUCAUUAUGAUAAAGUUGAUGUGAAGCACUAUGUAGGUUUUAACUUACUUGAUUUUAUUUGGAUUCCACCGCCCCUGCCUUCUAUCAUAUUGCAUGUAAGACUUCGGGAAUUGAAAUGUUUGUGGGGUAUUAUUCUUAAAAUAUCUCUGCUUGUGAACCUAUUUUUCCUUUCUUUAACAAGUAUAUAUGUCUUUUUCCCUU